This 497-nucleotide ribosomal RNA is filed under the name uncultured bacterium. RNAcentral describes it as "partial 16S ribosomal RNA". It matches the Rfam family "Bacterial small subunit ribosomal RNA", at positions 28 to 507 of the family's 1533-position model. The record is from RNAcentral.
GAUGAACGCUGGCGGCGUGCCUAAUACAUGCAAGUCGAGCGAACAGAUAAGGAGCUUUCUCCUUUGACGUUAGCGGCGGACGGGUGAGUAACACGUGGGUAACCUACCUAUAAGACUGAGGUCACUUCGGGAAACCUGAGCUAAUACCGGAUAACAUUUAGAACCUCAUGGUUCUAAAGUGAUCGCUGGAUUUGCUAUCCCUUAUAGAUGGUCCCGCGUCGUAUUAGCUAGUUGGUAAGGUAACGGCUUACCAAGGCAACGAUACGUAGCCGACCUGAGAGGAUGAUCGGCCACACUGGAACUGAGACACGGUCCAGACUCCUACGGGAGGCAGCAGUAGGGAAUCUUCCGCAAUGGGCGAAAGCCUGACGGAGCAACGCCGCGUGAGUGAUGAAGGGUUUCGGAUCGUAAAACUCUGUUAUUAGGGAAGAACAAACGUGUAAGUAACUGUGCACGUCUUGACGGUACCUAAUCAGAAAGCCACGGCUAACUACGUA